This 253-nucleotide ribosomal RNA is filed under the name uncultured bacterium. RNAcentral describes it as "partial 16S ribosomal RNA". It matches the Rfam family "Bacterial small subunit ribosomal RNA", at positions 524 to 776 of the family's 1533-position model. The record is from RNAcentral.
UACGGGGGGGGCAAGCGUUGUUCGGAUUCAUUGGGCGUAAAGCGCACGUAGGCGGCUUUCUAAGUCGGGGGUGAAAUCCUGGAGCUCAACUCCAGAACUGCCUUCGAUACUGGAAAGCUCGAGUCCGGGAGAGGUGAGUGGAACUGCGAGUGUAGAGGUGAAAUUCGUAGAUAUUCGCAAGAACACCAGUGGCGAAGGCGGCUCACUGGCCCGGUACUGACGCUGAGGUGCGAAAGCGUGGGGAGCAAACAGG